Aedes aegypti (yellow fever mosquito) is the source of this 1498-nucleotide long non-coding RNA. RefSeq lists it as uncharacterized. The transcript has 4 exons. The record is from RefSeq and is a predicted model, not a curated record. Lineage: Eukaryota; Metazoa; Arthropoda; Insecta; Diptera; Culicidae.
AAACCAACCCGUGACAUAAGACAGCGAAAUGAGGAAUAAAUCCACAUAGCUGGAUUAAUUCCAAUCGAUGUGGUCCCCACUGAAAUACUCUGCAUCGCAAUUUGAUUGUCGCCGAAGCAGCUCCCUCAUAUUUCGCAGUGGUUUCUAGCGACAAAGGAAGGUGGUGCCAGCGAAAUGGGAUGGUGCAAAACAAAUCAGAGCCGAUUUUGUUGCUGCUGCUGACUUGGAAUGAUGACAGUUAACCAAACGAUGAAUGAGUAAGAAGCGAACAGUUGUAAUUGGUGGCGCAUAUCGACAAUUGAGUAUAUGCGAGUGUGCACUGAAAUAAAUAUGGGACGAUAUUUUAUCAGAAAUUUCAUAUAAAUCAAACUCCUCGUUUGGCUCAUACAUCUCAAAUGCAUUCCGAUACUUGUUAUUCAUAUUCCAGUUCGAAAUCAACAGCGUGCAUAUAAAUAUGAAAGGCGUAAGCUCACGCUUAAGUGAUAUGCCCAUAAUAUGAGCGAUACUAGCUUCGCAUAUACAUUUCACGAACCGGCUUGUUUGUGUCUUUUAUAUGCAUGCGUGUCAUAUUGAAUGUAUCAUUUCGGCUGUUGUUAUUUAGUAGAGUGAGUUAGAAAUGAGAACAAAGUUGCGUUGCUGAACCCGGAAUUUGAAAAUGUAGCUUUUAAAGCAAUAAUGUUUAUUCUUCAGAGUAAACCUUAUCCUUUAAGUGUGGCCUAGCACAGAAUCAAUAUAAGUCUUGCUAUAUGAUUUGACUUCAUUGGAAAACUAUUGGAAGGACGAUUAAACCACAUUUUCAGCAAUCAUCUUUUUUUAGCUUUUAGGGGAUCUACAGGGUCGGAAGAAGGGAAAUCGGUACACACUCACUCAAACGUCACUCGAAGAAUCCAUCUCCAACGGGAACUGAAACUAAGAGCACAUCCACUGACGUAACUAGGGUUGGGUAAACUCACUAACAACUACUUAUGAUUGUAUGCAAGCUCAAAGGCCACACACUACUACAAAUAAUAUUCCAAUCAGAACAAGAAGGGAGGGAGGCAUGAAGAUCCCUUUGUGGACCCGGAAUGGAACAGAGAGAAAAAAUGGAACAAUAGUGAGACUUUAAACACACUGAAAUGACAUAAACGAUCAAAUUCACAUGCACAGAAUUGUAUUAAGCUAAUUUUACAAUAAUCAACGUUUUCAUUUAAGCUUAAGUCUAUAUUGUGACGUCACAUUUGCUACUUGCGGUUAGGUCUAUGUUUGGCUUGGUGUUGUUGCGUGGUCUUUCCUUGCAUACCCAGACAAUGGGUUGCUGUACUGGGUGCCUAGCUGAACAGCUAGGGUAACAUCGGCGAAUAUCGUCCUCCGGGGUUGGUGGUAAAACAACAGCCACUGAUCGUACACAGUAUAGCCGGAAAACUGCUAGAUCUUGGCUUUAGGAUGAGAGUUUGGCCGGAUAUGGUUUAGAACCGUUGAACAAUUCCGGCAAUUGGAAGAUCCAAAAUGGCGCCUUCCU